AACAAUUGGAAACGAAUGCUAAUACCCCAUAUGCUUUCGAGUGAAAUGGAUUUAUAUUUAUUCGCCUAGAGAGAAGCUCGCGGCUGAUUAGCUUGUUGGUAAGGUAAGAGCUUACCAAGGCGACGAUCAGUAUCUGGUUUGAGAGGACGAUCAGACACACUGGAACUGAGACACGGUCCAGACUCCUACGGGAGGCAGCAGUGGGGAAUUUUCCGCAAUGGGCGAAAGCCUGACGGAGCAAUACAGCGUGAGGGAAGACUGCCUAUGGGUUGUAAACCUCUUUUUUCAGGGAGGAAUAAAUGACGUGUACCUGAAGAAUAAGCAUCGG
This 328-nucleotide ribosomal RNA is filed under the name uncultured bacterium. RNAcentral's name for it is "bacterial SSU rRNA". It matches the Rfam family "Bacterial small subunit ribosomal RNA", at positions 145 to 496 of the family's 1533-position model. The record is from RNAcentral.